UACGUAGGGAGCGAGCGUUGUCCGGAUUCAUUGGGCGUAAAGGGCGCGUAGGCGGCGGGGUAAGUCGGGUGUGAAAUCUCAGAGCUCAACUCUGAAACUGCACUCGAUACUGCUCUGCUUGAGGACUGGAGAGGAGACUGGAAUUCACGGUGUAGCAGUGAAAUGCGUAGAUAUCGUGAGGAAGACCAGUGGCGAAGGCGGGUCUCUGGACAGUUCCUGACGCUGAGGCGCGAAGGCCAGGGGAGCAAACGGG
Molecule: ribosomal RNA, 253 nt
Filed under: uncultured bacterium
Lineage: Bacteria
Description: partial 16S ribosomal RNA
Rfam family: Bacterial small subunit ribosomal RNA
Source: RNAcentral